This is a long non-coding RNA of Acanthopagrus latus (yellowfin seabream), 1867 nucleotides long. RefSeq lists it as uncharacterized. The record is from RefSeq and is a predicted model, not a curated record. NCBI's taxonomy places the organism in Eukaryota, Metazoa, Chordata, Actinopteri, Spariformes, Sparidae. The transcript has 2 exons.
CUAUGGUGUGGACUUUGGUGAAUGUCGGCUCAACGUCUCUGCAGCGAGGGAUUGGCCCGAACCUGAGAGACCCAACACAGACACACCUGAGAGACCCAACAGUGAGAGAGCGAACAGGGACAGUUGGGGACUGACAUUCCUUUACUGUCUACUGGGACUGACAGUAGCAGUGGUCGUUUUGUGUUUUCUUCAUCGCCUUUGUUUAUUCACUGUCUUGUCUAAGAAACAAAGCCCUGUGGAGGAAAGUUACAGCUCAGCAGGAUCAAGGAAAGAGUUUGAUCCACAACUUAAUGAUUUUUAACAACAAUGAUAGCAAUGACACAGGCUGAACAGGGUCAGUUGGAUAUGGAUUACCCUCUACUGUGAACUGGUACUGACAGCAGCAGUGGUCAUUGUGUGGUUUCUUUGUCGCCUUUUAUUUAUUCACUGUCUAAGAAACAAAGUCCUGUGGAGGAUUAUACAAAGGUUACAGCUCAGCAGGAUUGGUGGAAAUGGUUGAAACACAUCCUGCCUUUUGUUCAGUAAGUGUCUGUAAUAAAAGAGUCAGAGGAGAUAAACAAUAAUGGAGUUGAUUAAGAAACAUUGUUUUUCACUUUUGUUGUCCAUUAUUUUGACAGGACGUCUCAUCAAACUCUGUCACUUAUAAGACAGAUCUGAAAUCUGCUGUGUGUUCACUUUACUGAAAUAAUGCUGAGAAACAUGUCGACCUCGUACAACACUUGUAACUCUGUGCAUUUUAUGUUGUUGCCUCUAUGAUUAAUAAGAUAUGACAUUAACAUUGACAGUAUAUCCUGUAUAUGUAUUGCUCGCCUCUUAACUGGAGCACAUAAGACGGAGCACAUUACUCCCAUUCUGGCCUCCCUCCACUGGCUGUCUGUGCACUGUAGAGUUCAUCUUAAGAUUCUUUAAAUGGUCUCGCCCUGCCUUACCUCUCUGAGCUGCUCCAUCCCUACGGUCCUGCCCGGUGCCUCCGGUCAGCUGACCAGCUGCUCCUGGAGGUACCGAGAGAAGCUCAGAUGAGAAAGAGCUUUUUCUGUUGCCAGUCUCAAACUAUGGAACGUCCUCCCGCUACACAUCAGAUGAGCCCCCUCACUGUUCAUUUUUAAAACUAAUCUUAAAACCCAUCUUUAUUCUUCGGCUUUCAACCCAGCAUGAGACUCUGCUCUUGUUAUAGUGUCUUAUUGUUUUUAUUGUUAUUGUUUUUGAUAUUGUCUUUUGUGUUUUUGUGUUUUAUGUUCUAUUUCCUAUUUAUGUACAGCACUUUGUCCCAGCUAUGGCUACUUAAAGUACUUUCUAAAUCAAGUUGAGUUGAGUUGAGUUGAGUUGAGUUGAGUUGAGUUGAGUUGAGUUGAGUUGAGUUGAGUAUAUCCUGUACUGGCCUCCUGUAGGAUGUAAAGAAGAAUCAGGUGAACUAUAGAACAGAGAACAUUCAGUUAAAUUUAAAACAUUAAAUUAACUGAAGAACAGUGAACCACUGAAAACAUUAGAAUCAUCUGUAAAGACACGUUUGUCUUUAAUAUUGUUGUAUAUGAUCCCUCUAUAUGCACUUUGAGUUAUCUGUGUUUUGUUAUUUUACUUUUUCUGUUUUUUUUUAAAUCCUUCAUAUUUGACCAACUGUCCACAAUUUUUUAAUAGAUGUAACUUUUUCCUGCAGAGCUUUAACCUUUACUUGGUGUAAUGUGCAGUUUAAACUAAAAUGAAGAGCUGCUUUUUCAUUUGUGUUUUUUCAUUUAUUGUUAUUGAUUGUCAUUGUGUCUGUGUAUGUGUGCUUGAAUGAAAAACUGUUUUUUUUUGUUAAUGCUGGUGUGAAGGACAAAGGUCUAUAUAAUAAAGGUGUUAUAUAAUAAAUAACACUUUGAUGAAAGGA